GAGAAAAACAAGAACAAGAGGAGCAACAUGAAGGGCAAUUUCGGCCCUAGCUCCUUACUUUCACCCCUCAAAAAUUUUGAUCCAAAAAUUAUUGUCUUGUGGCUUUCCUACUAUAUUAAGGGUCCUCUACAACUUGGUGCAAUUGUUUGGGAGAAUAGAGCACUUGUUUCACCAAUCUCACACUUGGGUUAAGUGAAGAAGUUGAAGAAAAAAGAUUUUGGGCGAAACGGGAAUCGAAUUUGGAAAGGCGUAAAGAGCAUAUAAGGUACAGACGACAGAUUUGCUGAUCCGCCCGCUUAGGACUUUAUUCUGCUCUUUUGGAGCGCUCAUUUAUCCGGAACCCAUAUUUUGGUACAGUCUUCUGCUAUCGUAUAUAUGUACAUUAUUCAGGGGUACGACGGGGCCCUGUCCCGUGUUAUGAUUCUGUUAUGUUCUGUAGAGGUCUGUAGACAUACUUGUGUGGGUUCUGUAUAUGUUUUGGGUUACUAUGAUCUGUGACGGCCUUAUCGGCUUUCACGUGCUAUAUCUGUUCACCUGCACUAUCUGGUAGCACCAAUUGACUUUUAUAUUGAUAUAUUCUGCAAAUAUGCUCGUUUGGGUUAUUGGGUACGUUUGGGUGUCUAGCACGGACACUAGUCACGGCCUACGGGGUUGGGUCGUGACAUUCAUGUAAGUAUCCACUAAUGUGAGGACACUCAGAAUGGGAUCAAGUAGGACUUGUUAUUGGCUUGUAAUGUAGGCUUAUAGAUGGGUAGGAUAUAUAUUUGUAAUAAAGUGACUAUUCCCUCCUUGAGCAUAACACUAUACUUCUAUAUAUAUAUAUAUAUAUAUAUUUUUUUUUUUGAUGUUCGCACUCGAUCUUUAUUUGCUUUGCUUUUUUUUUUCUUUAACUUUCUUCUCUCUUUUUUUGUUUUGAGCUUUCCUCCAUUUUUUGGAGCUUUUUUUUUUCUUUGCAGCUCUUCUUUUGUCGUUGUAAUUUACUUAGACUUUUGCAUUUUUCACCUUUCCACUUUGCCAGCUUAGAUUUUGUUAGUGCGCUCAGGGAGGUGGGGCCAAAAGAGGGAUAGUGCACUUAUGCACUCGAAAGGAUAUAGGCUAAAUUGUGGUUUAUCCAAAGAAAAUGUUUUAGGCUCAAAAGGGUAACACUAGGGAUCAUAUGUCAUUUGGUAGGCUUGAAAGGCACAAUCGGGUCAAAGAAAGCCUACAAUCCUUUCUCAAACCAAGUGUUGCUCGAUAUUUCGCCUCAACAAACAUUCCGGCCAAGUUCUAGAUCAACAAAGCAAUGUUAUUGAAUUUUCAAUCUAAAGCUCAUCACACAAUGCACAUAAAACGAUGAGGUCGGAUUAAUUUUGACCCUAACUUUUAGCCAAAGAAUUUCUCAAGUGUCACUUAGGUAUAAUCAAGAGGUACCAAAAGAAUCUAUGGUUCACAACAAAAUUGGUCCUCUCUAUCAUCCUCAUUCUUUUAACUCUUGUUUUUUUUAUCAUGCACACUCCUAAAUAUGUUGAUACCUACCGAGUCAAUAUAUUUUCUUAUUCAUUUUUUUGUGGGACCGAACCGUAAAGAAGGGUUGCCUAUGUAUCUUGUUGAAACAAGAAUCAGGUCAGACGUAGUUCAUGAAAAAAAGUAUACAAACAUUUUUAUUAAAUUUUGGGAUAAUGAAAUAAAAGCUCUUUUUUUGUUCUUUUUGUGAAAGAAUAACAACUCUUUUUUUUUCAUAUUGUUUUUUUUUAAUAGGAAUACCGAACCCAAGAAGGGCAGCCUACGUAUCUCACCGGGAUGAGAAUCAGGUUUGCGUAGUUCUUGAUGAGAAUGGAAACUUGUUUUUUUUUUUCUUUUUUUUUUUUGAAUUUUCUCUUAUCUUUUUUUUUUAUGUUUAAAAGAAAAGAAACCUUUUUUUUUAAUUUUCCAAGGAAUGAAUAAAUAAAAGAAAACAUUUUUGGUAUUUUUCAAAUGUUGGAAUUUUCUACAAAGAAUAAUUCUAAAAAUAAGGUAAAAUCUUUUUUGGAUUUUUUUGAAUAAGGAAAACUCUUUUUUUUUUUUUUAAUCUUUGAAUAAAGAUCACCGAACCCAAGAAGGGCUGCCUACGUAUCUCAUUGAGGUGAGAAUCAGGUGCGCGUAGUUCGUGAUGAGAAUGGAGAAACUUGUUUUUUUUUUCUUGAAUUUUCUCCUUUUUUUUAUCUUUAAAAGAAAAGAAACCCUUUUUUAAUUUUCCAAGGAAUGAAUAAAUAAAAGAAAAUAUUUUUGGGAUUUUUCAAAUGUUGGAAUUUUAUACAAAGAAUAAUCCGAAAAAUAAAGGUAAAACCUUUUUUUGGAUUUUUUGAAUAAGGAAAACUCUUUUUUUUUUUAAUCUUUGAAUAAAGAUCACCGAAUCCAAGAAGGACUGCCUACGUAUCUCAUUGAGGUGAGAAUCAGGUGCACGUAGUUCGUGAAUACUAGCUUAGACUCUUGGAUUUUUUUUUUUUUUUUUUUUUAAAUGGAGGAUAAUUAUUUCUCUCUUAUUCUUCCUAAUCACCUUAAAAACCGGUCAACAUGCAAAAACCUUCCAAAUAAAUAUGUUUUCGGAUAGCACAUAAAAUAAAUAUGGUGGUCUUUUGAGAUAGACACCUGUCUUAGACAGACCCAGCCCCUGUGCCGAGUCCUAUUAGGUCAAAUGCAUGUGAUGUAAAUAAAGCGUAGCCUAAUAGGGAUAAUCAUUACUUGUGGCUUGUUCUGCUAGGUUUAACAUCCUAAAGGAGAAGGUGUCUAGACUGGCUUACCCGAGCGGACAACUCGAGCCGGGGAAGGGCCAGAUUGCCGGUAGCAGAGCUUUUCCG
Molecule: long non-coding RNA, 2816 nt
Organism: Lycium barbarum (goji berry)
Lineage: Eukaryota; Viridiplantae; Streptophyta; Magnoliopsida; Solanales; Solanaceae
Exons: 3
Source: RefSeq, a predicted model, not a curated record